AGAGUUUGAUCAUGGCUCAGAUUGAACGCUGGCGGCAGGCCUAACACAUGCAAGUCGAACGGUAACAGGAAGAAGCUUGCUUCUUUGCUGACGAGUGGCGGACGGGUGAGUAAUGUCUGGGAAACUGCCUGAUGGAGGGGGAUAACUACUGGAAACGGUAGCUAAUACCGCAUAACGUCGCAAGACCAAAGAGGGGGACCUUCGGGCCUCUUGCCAUCGGAUGUGCCCAGAUGGGAUUAGCUUGUUGGUGGGGUAACGGCUCACCAAGGCGACGAUCCCUAGCUGGUCUGAGAGGAUGACCAGCCACACUGGAACUGAGACACGGUCCAGACUCCUACGGGAGGCAGCAGUGGGGAAUAUUGCACAAUGGGCGCAAGCCUGAUGCAGCCAUGCCGCGUGUAUGAAGAAGGCCUUCGGGUUGUAAAGUACUUUCAGCGGGGAGGAAGGGAGUAAAGUUAAUACCUUUGCUCAUUGACGUUACCCGCAGAAGAAGCACCGGCUAACUCCGUGCCAGCAGCCGCGGUAAUACGGAGGGUGCAAGCGUUAAUCGGAAUUACUGGGCGUAAAGCGCACGCAGGCGGUUUGUUAAGUCAGAUGUGAAAUCCCCGGGCUCAACCUGGGAACUGCAUCUGAUACUGGCAAGCUUGAGUCUCGUAGAGGGGGGUAGAAUUCCAGGUGUAGCGGUGAAAUGCGUAGAGAUCUGGAGGAAUACCGGUGGCGAAGGCGGCCCCCUGGACGAAGACUGACGCUCAGGUGCGAAAGCGUGGGGAGCAAACAGGAUUAGAUACCCUGGUAGUCCACGCCGUAAACGAUGUCGACUUGGAGGUUGUGCCCUUGAGGCGUGGCUUCCGGAGCUAACGCGUUAAGUCGACCGCCUGGGGAGUACGGCCGCAAGGUUAAAACUCAAAUGAAUUGACGGGGGCCCGCACAAGCGGUGGAGCAUGUGGUUUAAUUCGAUGCAACGCGAAGAACCUUACCUGGUCUUGACAUCCACAGAACUUUCCAGAGAUGAAAAGGUGCCUUCGGGAACCGUGAGACAGGUGCUGCAUGGCUGUCGUCAGCUCGUGUUGUGAAAUGUUGGGUUAAGUCCCGCAACGAGCGCAACCCUUAUCCUUUGUUGCCAGCGGUCCGGCCGGGAACUCAAAGGAGACUGCCAGUGAUAAACUGGAGGAAGGUGGGGAUGACGUCAAGUCAUCAUGGCCCUUACGACCAGGGCUACACACGUGCUACAAUGGCGCAUACAAAGAGAAGCGACCUCGCGAGAGCAAGCGGACCUCAUAAAGUGCGUCGUAGUCCGGAUUGGAGUCUGCAACUCGACUCCAUGAAGUCGGAAUCGCUAGUAAUCGUGGAUCAGAAUGCCACGGUGAAUACGUUCCCGGGCCUUGUACACACCGCCCGUCACACCAUGGGAGUGGGUUGCAAAAGAAGUAGGUAGCUUAACCUUCGGGAGGGCGCUUACCACUUUGUGAUUCAUGACUGGGGUGAAGUCGUAACAAGGUAACCGUAGGGGAACCUGCGGUUGGAUCACCU
Molecule: ribosomal RNA, 1530 nt
Filed under: Escherichia coli
Lineage: Bacteria; Pseudomonadati; Pseudomonadota; Gammaproteobacteria; Enterobacterales; Enterobacteriaceae
Description: bacterial SSU rRNA
Rfam family: Bacterial small subunit ribosomal RNA
Source: RNAcentral